UUCGUUGCCCCUGCCGACGUACGGGAGAGCUUCCUUGCCGCCGCCGACGUACGAUCUGCCGCGAUCCCGUUCGAUCUACCCGCUGCCGAUGUACGAGAUCGCCGACACCGAGAUACGGGAUCGCCGCCAACGCACGAUCUGCCGUCUCUCGCUGCCGCCGUGGUACGAUCUGCCGUCUCUCCCAGAGGAGGCGCCGCCGCGGACGUCCGGGAUCACCGCUGCCUACGUCCGGGAUCACCGCCGCCGACCUGCCAGAGGAGACGCCGCCUCCAAUCUCCUAGAGGAGCCGCCGCCGCCGCCGGUCUCCGACGGGAGACGCCGUCGCCGCCGCCGCCGACCUUUGAGGGGAGACGCCGCCGCCACCUGCGCUGAACCCCAGGGCAGGGUGCGACGAUCGUCGCAAGGAGUACUUGCCGGCCGUACACAGGUAUUCUGAACCUUACCAUCCUAUUCUCAUCAUUCACAAAUGUGUUCAGAUAGUUGUUGCUUGUGUCGUUCCUGUUACUAGAGGAGGGCUCCACUGUCUGUGGCCAUUCGCCACUCUGCCUGCAAGCUCGACGCCACAGUUUGACAGGGCCAAGGUGGUAGUAGACGAUGACGAAUAUGGCGCCCUGGCUGUCUCAGUUCAUGAGAUUCCCCUAUGGUGGCCGAAUUUGUAACACACCAGGCUGCUCCCCUCUUGCAAAUCAGAGCUAGCUUAUAUAUUCAUCCAUAGGUCAUGGCUGACUCCAAAGGCAACACUCCUCCGGUCCUCCUGUGCGUGAUGGCAAAGCUAUGCUACAUGAUAUUAUCACCUAUGAGAUUUUAUUUGAAGAACCAUGCAAAGCAAUUUGAGAUGAUGCAUAUAAAGCAUAUUCGAUUUAUUAAGUGUUUUCAAGUAUUCAAUUUAUUAAGAGUUCACUCAUCAUUGCCGACCGUACACAGGCGAGUGAUUCAGGGUUAUUGUUCGAAGUGGCUAUAAUAUGUAGGGGUUAUUGUUCGAAGUGGCUAUAAUAUGUGGCUGCAAACUUGCCGAGGCCAGCAUAAGGAGUGA
Molecule: non-coding RNA, 1033 nt
Organism: Triticum urartu
Lineage: Eukaryota; Viridiplantae; Streptophyta; Magnoliopsida; Poales; Poaceae
Source: RefSeq, a predicted model, not a curated record